AACGAACGCUGGCGGCAGGCCUAACACAUGCAAGUCGAGCGCCCCGCAAGGGGAGCGGCGGACGGGUGAGUAACGCGUGGGAACGUACCCUUUGCUACGGAAUAGCCUCGGGAAACUGGGAGUAAUACCGUAUGUGCCCUUCGGGGGAAAGAUUUAUCGGCAAAGGAUCGGCCCGCGUUGGAUUAGGUAGUUGGUGGGGUAAUGGCCUACCAAGCCGACGAUCCAUAGCUGGUUUGAGAGGAUGAUCAGCCACACUGGAACUGAGACACGGUCCAGACUCCUACGGGAGGCAGCAGUAGGGAAUAUUGGACAAUGGGCGCAAGCCUGAUCCAGCCAUGCCGCGUGAGUGAAGAAGGCCCUCGGGUUGUAAAGCUCUUUUGUCCGGAAAGAAAAGCGCCGGGUUAAUACCCUGGUGUCCUGACGGUACCGGAAGAAUAAGCACCGGCUAACUUCGUGCCAGCAGCCGCGGUAAAGUACAGUGU
This 482-nucleotide ribosomal RNA is filed under the name uncultured bacterium. RNAcentral's name for it is "bacterial SSU rRNA". It matches the Rfam family "Bacterial small subunit ribosomal RNA", at positions 29 to 533 of the family's 1533-position model. The record is from RNAcentral.